AUUGAACGCUGGCGGAAUGCUUUACACAUGCAAGUCGAACGGUAGAGGGGGCAACCCCUCGAGAGUGGCGAACGGGUGAGUAAUAUAUCGGAACGUGCCCAGUCGUGGGGGAUAACGUAGCGAAAGUUACGCUAAUACUGCAUACGAUCUAAGGAUGAAAGCGGGGGAUCGCAAGACCUCGCGCGAUUGGAGCGGCCGAUAUCAGAUUAGGUAGUUGGUGGGGUAAAGGCUCACCAAGCCAACGAUCUGUAGCUGGUCUGAGAGGACGACCAGCCACACUAGAACUGAGACACGGGCCAGACUCCUACGGGAGGCAGCAGUGGUGAAUUUUGGACAAUGGACGCAAGUCUGAUCCAGCCAUUCCGCGUGCAUGAUGAAGGCCCUCGGGUUGUAAACUGCUUUUGUACGGAACGAAAAGGUCUCUCUUAAUACGGGGGACUCAUGACGGUACCGUAAGAAUAAGCACCGGCUAACUACGUGCCAGCAGCCGCGGUAA
RNAcentral lists this ribosomal RNA (496 nucleotides) under uncultured bacterium. Its description in RNAcentral is "partial 16S ribosomal RNA". It matches the Rfam family "Bacterial small subunit ribosomal RNA", at positions 30 to 523 of the family's 1533-position model. The record is from RNAcentral.